Molecule: ribosomal RNA, 253 nt
Filed under: uncultured bacterium
Lineage: Bacteria
Description: partial 16S ribosomal RNA
Rfam family: Bacterial small subunit ribosomal RNA
Source: RNAcentral
UACGUAGGGGGCUAGCGUUGUCCGGAUUUAUUGGGCGUAAAGAGCGUGUAGGCGGCUUGAUAGGUCUGCUGUGAAAACUCGGGGCUCAACCCCGAGAUGUCGGUGGAAACCAUCUGGCUAGAGUCCGGAAGAGGAGAGUGGAAUUCCGGGUGUAGCGGUGAAAUGCGUAGAUAUCUGGAGGAACACCGGUGGCGAAGGCGACAUCCUGGACCAACACUGACGCUGAGGAGCGAAAGCCAGGGGAGCAAACGGG